Molecule: ribosomal RNA, 422 nt
Filed under: uncultured bacterium
Lineage: Bacteria
Description: partial 16S ribosomal RNA
Rfam family: Bacterial small subunit ribosomal RNA
Source: RNAcentral
AAUAUUUGACAAAGGGGGGAACCCUGAUCCAUCCAUGCCGCGUGUGUGAAGAAGGCCUGUUGGUUGUAUAGCACUUUAUGCGAGGAGGAGGAGCUAUUGGUUGAUAACUAAGAUGCUUGGACGUUACUCGCAGAAUAAGCACCGGCUAACACCUCGCUACCAGCCGCGGUAAUACAGAGGGUGCAAGCGUUAAUCGGAUUUACUGGGCGUAAAGCGCGCGUAGGUGGUCAAUUAAGUCAAAUGUGAAAUCCCCGAGCUUAACUUGGGAAUUGCAUUUGAUACUGGUUGGCUAGAGUAUGGGAGAGGAUGGUAGAAUUCCAGGUGUAGCGGUGAAAUGCGUAGAGAUCUGGAGGAAUACCGAUGGCGAAGGCAGCCAUCUGGCCUAUUACUGACACUGAGGUGCGGAAGCAUGGGGAGCAAAC